Molecule: long non-coding RNA, 644 nt
Organism: Nerophis ophidion (straightnose pipefish)
Lineage: Eukaryota; Metazoa; Chordata; Actinopteri; Syngnathiformes; Syngnathidae
Exons: 2
Source: RefSeq, a predicted model, not a curated record
UUUUCCUACUCCCCUCUCCUCUGGUGUCUGUAAGUGUCCUACCCUGUCAUUAGUUCCAGGUGUGCUACCAGUCACCUGAGCCCACCUGUUGCUAAUCAACCACCAGACUUAAACCCUGGAUCUCUACUCAGCCGGUGCCAGUUCGUCCGUUGCCUGCAGUAGAAUUUGGCUCACUAACUCUGACUUUUGCCCUGAGCCUUUUGUAAUUCCACUUUUUUGUGUUUCCUCAGGUGGAGGACAGACUUUUGACCCGGUUUUCCUGGAGCUGAUCUUUCGCUACAACUGAUUUCUUCUGGAGGAAAGUUCUGUGGUCAGAUGAAACAAAAAUUGAGCUGUUUGGCCACAAUACCCAGCAAUAUGGUUUGGAGGAGAAAAGGUUGUCAGGGAGAGCGUUCCACAGACCGGGAGCGGCGGAGCAGAAAGCCCGGUCUCCCGCUGUUCGUAGCUUUGUCCCCGGAGGUUGGAGGAGGUUAGCCUGUCCGGAGCGGAGGUGUCGUGUGGAGGAUUUGGGGGUGAGUAGUAGAUUUAAGUGUGGCCUCAGCACUUUAAAGUUUUUCUGUAUGUGGCCCUCAGUUUAAAAAGUUUGACACAAUUGCAUUUUGCAACAUGGAAUUGUUGGCUAAUAAAACAUCACUCAUUACCAA